UACCAAAUAGAGAGGGGGACAACAGUGAAGAUGCACUUGCACUGCCAAUUCAAUAUGGGGCAGGGACUCAGAGUUAUGGGGAACUCCAUGCAUGCAUCAAGCUUUUAGAGUGAGUAGUUGAACCAUCUUCAUCUUAGUUGGAGCAGCCGUAUGUACCAUCGUAUCAGGCAUUGCAGUAUAGUGGGUAUGAUGCGCUGUGUGGAAGCAAGCUGGGACAGAAUGAACUCCCAGGUAAUAUUCUAAAUCUGUGUAGACAUCAGUAUGGCAAAAGUGGACCUUGAGAAUUUGACCACCGAUGACCACGUUUAUAUUAGCUAAACCUACAUUUUUUUUCCAGCACAUAAAACUAACAAAGUCUUAUAACCAUAUCUGUUUACUCAAAUGAGCAGUGAAGCCUUCAGUUAGAGUAUGUAGUAUGGGUUGU
Molecule: long non-coding RNA, 424 nt
Filed under: Setaria viridis
Lineage: Eukaryota; Viridiplantae; Streptophyta; Magnoliopsida; Poales; Poaceae
Description: long non-coding RNA (SVIR_LNC001443)
Source: RNAcentral